UACGUAGGAGGCUAGCGUUGUUCGGAAUUACUGGGCGUAAAGGGCUCGUAGGCGGCCAACUAAGUCAGACGUGAAAUCCCUCGGCUUAACCGGGGAACUGCGUCUGAUACUGGAUGGCUUGAGAUUGGGAGAGGGAUGCGGAAUUCCAGGUGUAGCGGUGAAAUGCGUAGAUAUCUGGAGGAACACCGGUGGCGAAGGCGGCAUCCUGGACCAACACUGACGCUGAGGAGCGAAAGCCAGGGGAGCAAACGGG
This 253-nucleotide ribosomal RNA is filed under the name uncultured bacterium. RNAcentral describes it as "partial 16S ribosomal RNA". It matches the Rfam family "Bacterial small subunit ribosomal RNA", at positions 524 to 776 of the family's 1533-position model. The record is from RNAcentral.